UCUAUCUGGAGAUCACUCCUCUGGGAGCUCUUCUGUGGGCCCAGGACAUAGCACAUUUAUGAAGAAUGACUUAAAGCUUAUGAGUUGUUAGAGGAAAAAAAAGCACUAGAACUGAUCUUCUAAAAGUACAAGAAAAGGAAACAGCAUAAGUCUUUUAUAUGUCUCUGGGCCAGGAAAGAAGUAAGCAGUGAGAAAGUAUGAGGAAGAAUGAGCUUCAGGUCUGAAGCCACAAAUGAGCUCAAACACAGGAGGAAAGCUGGAACAAAAUGAACUCUUACGUGAAAAUAAGACAUGACUUCCAGCAUAGGCUGAAUGUGCAUCACAUCCUGACACAACAGGAUGAACAUAUAUGAACAUACAUGUAGGCAUAAAGCUUCCUUUCUCCAUAGCCCACCAACCUCUGACUGCUCUCCAUCCACCAUCCUGUAGCAACUCUUCUGGGGAAGGCUAACAAAUCACUUCUGCGACUUGCUUCCACAUUAUGUCAAGUAUCUUACUUGGCCAGUUGGGAGUAUGCCAUAUUCCACUGGAAAUGCCAAAGAAGAACACAGGACUUGGACAGAGUAAACCUUUCGUAAUACACCACCAAGAAAUGUUUGGAGGUUCGAUCCUUGUGUUCAGCACAAAUCGUUUGUGCUGAAGAGACAGACUGAAUCUCGGACAAGAUGUCAGGCCAAAUCCUCUUUACAAGGGGGUUUAUCAUUGUAUAUUCAGUGUAAUGAGUAUCCACGGACAUCUGUCAAUGUAUUUUGUGUGGAAGGGGGAAAGAAAAAAACCUGAAUAUGCAUGUAAUUGUGGUGAUUUUAACCAUUAAUGUGGUGUCCAGAAAGCAUUCAGAAAAGGAACUGAAAACGCCACAAUAAACGGUGCUUCCUGAUGUGAUGUAUAACAACCCCAUCCAAGUGAAUUGCUUCUGAGUUUUCUCCAUUAAUCUUGCCUUGACUCUGAGUCUCUGUGCAAAACUACAAGUUCUUUGGCACAGGGACUGUGCCAGGGUUUACAGAACACCUUUUGCAAGAGGGUCGCAGUUAGAACUUGGCAGCAUGUGAGAAAUAAUGAAGAAAAGAAUUGGGCUCUUGAAAUGACAUUGUUCAACCUUCAGUAUCCCACAAGAUACAACUGGAAGUAAAUAAAUAGUAGGCUUAGUC
This is a long non-coding RNA of Gallus gallus (chicken), 1148 nucleotides long. NCBI's taxonomy places the organism in Eukaryota, Metazoa, Chordata, Aves, Galliformes, Phasianidae. The record is from Ensembl.